Molecule: long non-coding RNA, 549 nt
Organism: Cyprinus carpio (common carp)
Lineage: Eukaryota; Metazoa; Chordata; Actinopteri; Cypriniformes; Cyprinidae
Exons: 2
Source: RefSeq, a predicted model, not a curated record
UCCCCUCGCUUGGGCCCCAAGUGCAUAUGGGUCCCUGUGCCUGUGUCCAUAAAACCCAUUGGAUAAUCCAGAACAGCUCAGACGUUAUUCUGAACACAGCUCUGAGAUCUUCAAGCUCCACAGAACUUCUACAGAUUCUUUCUGUCAUUGUGAAGAAACAUCUUGAAGAAUGAGAAGCCUGAUGUGUGUGCUGUUCCUGCUGAUCUUCUGCUCUAAGCAGGGGACUUCACAGCAUGCUCCUGAAGUUCCUCAGAGAUGUUGCUGGUCUUUUAUUGACUUUCCAAUUCCAUCCAGAAGAAUCGUCAGUGCUGUAAAGACAGGUUCACGCUGCCCUAUGCCUGGCAUUAUGUAAGUAUUUAAACUCUGAAAUAUAGAAAUGUGCUCCUUUAUAGAUGAAUCAUAAUGAAUGAUAAAAUUAUUUUGUGUAUGCCAGCACUUUAAACAAACAUUUUGAAUGUGAACUUUUCCCCUCAGGGUUACGACACCUAGAAAUGAAUUUUGUGUGGAACCAGACGAGGCUUGGAUAAAGAGCUUCAUGGAGAAAAGGCA